UGAAUACGAGACGCUAAGGCGUCGAAGUAGUGUAUGUCAUACUUCCAAGAAAAGCUUGCACUGUCAUAGAUAAAAAACGCCUGUACCAUAACCGACACAGGUGGGUAGGUAGAGUAUACUAAGGGGCGCGAGAUAACUCUCUCUAAGGAACUCGGCAAAAUAACUCCGUAACUUCGGGAGAAGGAGUGCCUUAUUCUUAAGGUUGCAAUAACAAGAUCCAAGCAACUGUUUAUCAAAAACACAGGUCUCCGCUAAGUCGUAAGACGAUGUAUGGGGGCUGACGCCUGCCCAGUGCCAGAAGGUUAAAGAAGCUGGUUAGCAAUUGUGAAGCUGGUGACUGAAGCCCUGGUGAACGGCGGCCGUAACAAUAACGGUCCUAAGGUAGCGAAAUUCCUUGUCGGGUAAGUUCCGACCCGCACGAAAGGCGUAAUGAUUUGGAUACUGUCUCGGAGAGGGGCUCGGUGAAAUAGACUUGUCUGUGAAGAUGCGGACUACCUGCACCAGGACAGAAAGACCCUAUGAAGCUUUACUGUAACUUGAAAUUGAAAUUGGACUUUAUUCGCGCAGCAUAGGUGGGAGGCGUUGAUUAUAAUCUUGCGGGAUUAUUGGAGCCAUUAGUGAGAUACCACUCUUGUAAUGUUAGAUUUCUAACUUUGAAUCAUUAUCUGGUCAAAGGACAGUUUCAGGCGGGCAGUUUGACUGGGGCGGUCGCCUCCCAAACGGUAACGGAGGCGUACAAAGGUUUCCUCUGAACGGUUAGAAAUCGUAUCUAGAGUGUAAAGGCAUAAGGAAGCUUGACUGUGAGACCUACAAGUCGAGCAGGGACGAAAGUCGGUCUUAGUGAUCUGACGGUACUGAGUGGAAAGGCCGUCACUCAACGGAUAAAAGUUACUCUAGGAUAACAGGCUGAUCUCCCCCAAGAGUUCACAUCGACGGGGAGGUUUGGCACCUCGAUGUCGGCUCAUCGCAUCCUGGGGCGGUAGUACGUCCCAAGGGUUGGGCUGUUCGCCCAUGAAAGCGGUACGCGAGCUGGGUUCAGAACGUCGUGAGACAGUUCGGUCCAUAUCCGGUGUAGGCGUUAGAAUAUUGAGAGGAGCCUUCUUUAGUACGAGAGGACCGAGAAGGACAUACCUCUGGUGUACCAGUUAUCGUGCCAACGGUAAACGCUGGGUAGCUAUGUAUGGAGUGGAUAACCGCUGAAAGCAUCUAAGUGGGAAGCCCACCUCAAGAUAAG
This 1234-nucleotide ribosomal RNA is filed under the name metagenome. RNAcentral describes it as "bacterial LSU rRNA". It matches the Rfam family "Bacterial large subunit ribosomal RNA", at positions 1564 to 2808 of the family's 2925-position model. The record is from RNAcentral.